This 440-nucleotide ribosomal RNA is filed under the name uncultured bacterium. RNAcentral describes it as "partial 16S ribosomal RNA". It matches the Rfam family "Bacterial small subunit ribosomal RNA", at positions 338 to 795 of the family's 1533-position model. The record is from RNAcentral.
CCUACGGGGGGCAGCAGUGGGGAAUAUUGCACAAUGGGGGAAACCCUGAUGCAGCGACGCCGCGUGAGCGAUGAAGUAUUUCGGUAUGUAAAGCUCUAUCAGCAGGGAAGAAAAUGAUGGUACCUGACUAAGAAGCCCCGGCUAACUACGUGCCAGCAGCCGCGGUAAUACGUAGGGGGCAAGCGUUAUCCGGAUUUACUGGGUGUAAAGGGAGCGUAGACGGUGCUGCAAGCCUGAUGUGAAAGGCCGGGGCUCAACCCCGGGACUGCAUUUGAAACUGUGGGGCUAGAGUGUAGGAGAGGCAGGCGGAAUUCCUAGUGUAGCGGUGAAAUGCGUAGAUAUUAGGAGGAACACCAGUGGCGAAGGCGGCCUACUGGACGAUGACUGACGUUGAGGCUCGAAAGCGUGGGGAGCAAACAGGAUUAGAUACCCUGGUAGUC